GCCAGGCAUGGUGGUGCAUGCCUGUAAUCCCAGCUACUCGGAGGCUGAGGCAGGAGAAUCAUCUGAACCCAGGAGGUGGAGGUUGCAGUAAGCCAAGGUUGUGCCACUGCACUCUGGCCUGGGUGACAGAGUGAGACUCUGUCUCAA
This 147-nucleotide non-coding RNA is filed under the name Chlorocebus sabaeus (green monkey). Lineage: Eukaryota; Metazoa; Chordata; Mammalia; Primates; Cercopithecidae. The record is from Rfam by way of RNAcentral.